GAUGAAGAACGCAGCGAAAUACGAUAAUUAAUGUGAAUUGCAGAAUUCAGUGAAUCAUCGAAUCUUUGAACGCACCUUGCGCCCCUUGGUUAUUCCAAAGGGCAUGCCUGUUUGAGUAUCAUGAACACCUCAACUCUUGUGGUUUCCCACAAUGAGCUUGGACUGUGGAGGUUUUGUUGGCCCUGUGGUCAGCUCCUCUCAAAUGGAUCAGCUUACCGGUGUUUGGUGGCAUUACGGGUGUGAUAACUAUCUACGCUCGUGGUCGUCUCCAAAUAACCUCCAGUGAUGGAGGUUCGCUGGAGCUUAUAAAUGUCUCUCCCCAGUGAAGACAGCCUUUGAACGUUCGAUCUCAAAUCAGGUAGGACUACCCGCUGAACUUAAGCAUAUCAAUAAGCGGAGGA
RNAcentral lists this unclassified non-coding RNA (401 nucleotides) under soil metagenome. Its description in RNAcentral is "partial contains 5.8S ribosomal RNA, internal transcribed spacer 2, and large subunit ribosomal RNA". The stretch from base 1 to 121 matches the Rfam family "5.8S ribosomal RNA", at positions 35 to 154 of the family's 154-position model. The record is from RNAcentral.